Molecule: ribosomal RNA, 914 nt
Filed under: uncultured marine archaeon
Lineage: Archaea
Description: bacterial SSU rRNA
Rfam family: Archaeal small subunit ribosomal RNA
Source: RNAcentral
UUCCGGUUGAUCCUGCCGGACCUGACUGCUAUCGGAUUGAUACUAAGCCAUGCGAGUCUUUGCAGUAAUGCAAGGCAUACGGCUCAGUAACACGUAGUCAACUUACCCUAUGGACGAGGAUAAUCUCGGGAAACUGAGCAUAAUACUCGAUAGAUCAUAAUGCCUGGAAUGGUUUAUGGUUGAAAUGAUUCGUCGCCAUAGGAUGGGACUGCGGCCUAUCAGCUUGUUGGUGAGGUAAUGGCCCACCAAGGCGAUUACAGGUACGGGCUCUGAGAGGAGAAGCCCGGAGAUGGGUACUGAGACAAGGACCCAGGCCCUAUGGGGCGCAGCAGGCGAGAAAACUUUGCAAUGUGCGAAAGCACGACAAGGUUAAUCCGAGUGAUUUCUGCUAAAGAAAUCUUUUGCAAGUCAUAAAACCACUAGUGAAUAAGGGGUGGGCAAGUUCUGGUGUCAGCCGCCGCGGUAAAACCAGCACCUCAAGUGGUCAGGAGGAUUAUUGGGCCUAAAGCAUCCGUAGCCGGCUCUGUAAGUUUUCGGUUAAAUCCAUGUGCUCAACAUAUGGGCUGCCGAAAAUACUGCAUAGCUAGGGAGUGGGAGAGGUAGACGGUACUCGGUAGGAAGGGGUAAAAUCCUUUGAUCUAUCGAUGACCACCUGUGGCGAAGGCGGUCUACCAGAACACGUUCGACGGUGAGGGAUGAAAGCUGGGGGAGCAAACCGGAUUAGAUACCCGGGUAGUCCCAGCUGUAAACGAUGCAGACUCGAUGAUGCAUUGGCAUAUAGCCAGUGCAGUGUCGCAGGGAAGCCGUUAAGUCUGCCGCCUGGGAAGUACGUACGCAAGUAUGAAACUUAAAGGAAUUGGCGGGGGAGCACCACAAGGGGUGAAGCCUGCGGUUCAAUUGGAUUCAACGCCGGG